UAGGGGGCGGGUUGUUCACCGGCGUCGUUCAUGGCGGCGCGGCACCACUGCAGGCCGGUGCCGUUCGGAGCGGCAUCGCCUACC
Molecule: transfer RNA, 84 nt
Filed under: Streptomyces sp. A012304
Lineage: Bacteria; Bacillati; Actinomycetota; Actinomycetes; Kitasatosporales; Streptomycetaceae
Description: tRNA-Met
Source: RNAcentral